Felis catus (domestic cat) is the source of this 696-nucleotide long non-coding RNA. RefSeq lists it as uncharacterized. The transcript has 3 exons. NCBI's taxonomy places the organism in Eukaryota, Metazoa, Chordata, Mammalia, Carnivora, Felidae. The record is from RefSeq and is a predicted model, not a curated record.
AGUAGGCUGUGCAGAUGUAGGAAAUGGCAGGGGAGAAAAGAAUAAAAGCAAGUUAAAAUUAGGUCCAGACACGUCUAAAUGCUGUUUUUUUUUUAAUGGCUUAAAUUUGUUUCUUUGUUUGUUUGUUUGUUUGUUUGUUUAGGUAAUCUCUACACCCAAUGUGGGGCUUGAGCUCACAACUCCAAGAUCAAGAGUUGCAUGCUCUUCCGACUGAUACUAGUUUUGACUCAGUAAGGGCCCACUACAUCCAAUCAUAGAGAAGUUUGCUGACCCCUUUUCUAGAAGUUGGCUCAAAUCCGCUAAUAGCAUCUACAGAAGAAAAAUCAUUGUGGUCCAGGUAAAGAUUAUUACCAAGAGAAGUUAUAUGAGUAGAGAAAGUAAAGUUUUCAUUUAGGAAAACAGGUUUGGCCAUAAAUUGAUAAUCACUGAAGCUGGUUAUGGAUACUUGUAGGUUCCUUAUUUGUAUGCCAUCUAAUUUUGUUUUUGGAAAACUCCAUAAUAAAAGUUUUUGAAGUUGUUUUAAAUAGUUUGAAACAAAAGACUUUUGAAUAAAAUUAAACUGUAUCUAUAUAAUAAAAUACUAGAUACAUGUUAAAUUACUUGUAGACUGUAUUAUGUAAACAUGUUCAUAAUAUAAUUGUGUCAUUGUAACAGAGCUAUUAAAGGCAUGGGAAAUUUUAUCUGCUCUGCUGUGUC